GUUUCUUAAAUUAUGAAUAAUACGUCAUAAACCUAUUAUAGCCACAUGAUAAACUUUUAAAUUUAGUGCCACUCCCUGCAAUCUUUGAUCAAGAGACUAACUACUAAUCAUACCCUCAAACAUUUCCAAAAUACAAAAAAGAAAAACAAAAGAAUCAGAGCUAAGGUUGUAUUGGGAGCUGGGAGAGACAACACCCAGGAGGCCAGGAUUAUCAAAGGGUAAAAUCGAUAACUUCAG
Molecule: unclassified non-coding RNA, 237 nt
Filed under: Hevea brasiliensis (rubber tree)
Lineage: Eukaryota; Viridiplantae; Streptophyta; Magnoliopsida; Malpighiales; Euphorbiaceae
Source: RNAcentral